Molecule: ribosomal RNA, 231 nt
Filed under: Bodo sp.
Lineage: Eukaryota; Euglenozoa; Kinetoplastea; Eubodonida; Bodonidae
Description: partial small subunit ribosomal RNA
Rfam family: Eukaryotic small subunit ribosomal RNA
Source: RNAcentral
GAGAAAUAGCUACCACUUCUACGGAGGGCAGCAGGCGCGUAAAUUGCCCAAUGCCAAACUGGUGAGGCAGCGAAGAGAAAUAGCGACUCCGCCUCUCUGAGUGCGGGGAUUGCAAUGGGUGGUAUGUAAAACCACCAACGAGUAACAAUUGGAGGACAAGUCUGGUGCCAGCACCCGCGGUAAUUCCAGCUCCAAUAGCGUAUAUUAACGCUGUUGCUGUUAAAGGGUUCG